GAUAUUCAACUGAUAAGCGAGUGAGACAAGUUUCGAUGGAAACUGCAUCAAAAGGGUAGUUUCUCAGUCAAGUCCUUGUAUGAUGUGAUGGCCCAUAUUGAUGUUCCCGUAGAUAACAAAAAAUUGUGGAAGCUAAAAAUACCUCUAAAAGUGAAGACAUUCCUCUGGUUUUUAAUUAAAGGGGUCAGCUUAACUAGAGAUAACCUGACAUGAUGUAACUGGCAAGGUAGUAAGACACGUGUCUUUUGCCAACAUGACAAAUCUAUUAAACACUUAUUUUUUGAGUGUAAGUUUGCUCGUGCAGUAUGGGCCAUAGUUCAAGUAGCUUCAAAUCUAUACGCCCCACGUAGUGCACGUAACAUGUUCGGCAAUUGGUUACAGGACAUUGAUAAACUAUUUUCUGCACAUUUUCUUGUGGGGGCGGCUAUCUUAUGUUGGGCAUUGUGGCUUACCAGGAAUGAUGUUGUUUUCAAUAAUAAAUGUGUUUUCUUCUCCUAUGCAGGUUCUUCAUGCAUGUGCGCGAUGGCUCCGUACUUGGUCUAUCCUGCAGAAGUCGGACACCAGAGACUUUUUUAUGACGGUGUCUACAUGGAUGGAGCAUACGGCCAGGGAGGUUUUCUCCCUCCAUGGAUGGCGGUGUAA
RNAcentral lists this ribosomal RNA (642 nucleotides) under Triticum aestivum (bread wheat). RNAcentral's name for it is "partial small subunit ribosomal RNA". Lineage: Eukaryota; Viridiplantae; Streptophyta; Magnoliopsida; Poales; Poaceae. The record is from RNAcentral.